RNAcentral lists this ribosomal RNA (261 nucleotides) under Clitaetra episinoides. RNAcentral describes it as "partial 12S ribosomal RNA". Lineage: Eukaryota; Metazoa; Arthropoda; Arachnida; Araneae; Nephilidae. The record is from RNAcentral.
AACCUGUUAAAUAAUCGAUAUUCCACGAUAAAUUUUACUAUUAUUAAUAUUUUAUAUACCUCCAUCUAAAGAAUUUAUUUUUAUAAUAUUAUUCAAAAAAGUUAUUUCUUAAAAGUUAGGUAAAGGUGUAGACAAUAUAAUAGACUAUAAUGGGUUACUUUAAAUUUUAUUUAAGGAUAAAAAAAUUAAAAUUUUUUUAGAAAAAGGAUUUAUUAGUAAAAUUUAAAUAAUAUUUAUAUUUGAAUUUAGAAAUAAAUGUGU